ACGCUCGACACCUACGGGGGCAGCAGUGGGGAAUAUUGCACAAUGGGGGAAACCCUGAUGCAGCGACGCCGCGUGGAGGAAGAAGGUCUUCGGAUUGUAAACUCCUGUUGUUGGGGAAAAAGAGGAUGGUACCCAACAAGGAAGUGACGGCUAACUACGUGCCAGCAGUCGCGGUAAUCUGAGCGGGCUGGCAAGGC
This 197-nucleotide ribosomal RNA is filed under the name uncultured bacterium. RNAcentral describes it as "partial 16S ribosomal RNA". It matches the Rfam family "Bacterial small subunit ribosomal RNA", at positions 328 to 539 of the family's 1533-position model. The record is from RNAcentral.